UCCGCCGGCGUAGCCGUGAACUAGAAUGAUAUUCUCCUUCGUCGGUUCCCAUUCGGUAUCGUUCAGCCAAUCCGGGUGAUUCAUUUUGAACUGCAAAGCGAGCAGAUAAGUGUCAUUAAGACGCCAUGUUAUUAAAUGUGAUGCCGCCGUAACCAGCGGUGAGGAUUAUCGUGGCAGUUGAGUCGGUUACUGGGGCAUUAGCAUCUGGGAGAACAUGUAAAAUACACGCAUUGUACUAGACCAGAUUAUUUUGGAAAUUAAAAAAAAACGCAGAUUCCUCGUGCCACCUUAAAUUUCAAUUUUUUAUAAAUAAAUGAAUCAAUAUGGUAGUGCUUUGUAGGUGAAUCAAAUACGUUUUUUAUUUUCAUCAUAAAUUUCUUUCUGUAACCACAAAACUGAUAUGGAAAUUAUUUGUAAAUAUCACUAGUCUCAUUCGGAAGUACCAGUACCACUCAUCAGUGAUUCUUCCAUAAUUGACAUCAAUAUCACAUGUUUUAAUUAUUGAGAUCCUUUGAACGAUUCUUGCAGGAAUUUAUUCCACAAAUUAUUCACAAAUAUCAUCAGUAAUUCUUCUAGCGUUGACUUCUGGCUAAUUAUAAUUUCUCUUCAGAUUUCUUUAACAAAUUUUCUCCC
This is a long non-coding RNA of Aedes aegypti (yellow fever mosquito), 633 nucleotides long. RefSeq lists it as uncharacterized. The record is from RefSeq and is a predicted model, not a curated record. Lineage: Eukaryota; Metazoa; Arthropoda; Insecta; Diptera; Culicidae. The transcript has 2 exons.